UAAGACCUGUGCAGUACUUCAGUUGAUGACUUUCAUCUCAGCUUGAUCUGUGCCUGCAAUGCUUACCAGCAUUCUCCUGCUGCUGCAGUGGGCUUAAACCAUAGCAAGGUUUCAGUCGUGGUCAGGAUCAGACAUCCCAAGUUGGACACAGAGCACCUGAAUGAACACAGACCUAAGGUCCUAGCAAACAUAGUUUAAAACAUAUAAACUAGUUAUCUAACUCCCUAUCUGCCUAGGCAAUUAAGAGAUAAGAACUCGAAGAGUGAAGAAUGGUUAAAUCUGGAUGUUGGCCUAUGUGGAACAAGGGCACAGGGAGCAUUACUGCUCCUGUAAUUUGGAUACCCCAGCAGAGGCUGCAUAAGCUGAACCUGGAUAUUGAGCUACUCAGCCCAUCUUUCAUUUUCUGACACUGCCCUCAUCUUUUCAGAGACAGUUUGGUGACAUGUUAGGAGAGGAAACACCUAACGCGCUCUAAUGGCUGGUGCCCAGCCGGACUCAAGCUUCCUUAAACAUCAAUGUGAGACCUUUGUUUCAGCUUUGACCAGCAGAUGGGCCUGAGUUUACAAAGUUAAGUCAGUUUAGAUUCCAUAUUCUUAUUUGAUACUCCAUUGCUCAUUAUAAUCAAUUAAAAAUAGGAGCUUUCUGGGACUUGAUUUAGACCUACAGGUUUUUGGGUCUUUUCCACAUAGUUUUCUGUAGUGGAAAUGGUAAAAGCAUGCUGCUUUUUCUCAUUCCACUUCUUCGCCGAAGCUGCUUAAGAAAAUGAGAUACAACAAAUCCAUUUAGGAUUAUGUUGGAAAAGCAUCUCUGCUUUUAAUAUUAACCAGAUUUUUACUGCUAAGUUUUGCUGGCAAAUCUCUGAAAGUUUCAGCUUGCAACUUAUCCGGAUCAUUUAAAUCUACAACACUGGCUUUGCAGUCUUGCAAGAACAUCUGUUUUGAUUUCCAAAGCUAUCUUUUUUAGCCCUGGAACACUCUUCUUUAGUGUUGUAGGAGAUUUUUUUCGGAAUCUUAAAGGGCCUUAGUUAUAGCUCCGAAACAUAAUGAAAAUCAGGAUGAAGUACCUCAGAGUAAUGUUUCUUGUGCCGGUCAUUUCACUGAAUAUAUUCAGUGUAAAUGGACAAAGAAACAGCUGGAUGUCCACAUCACACUUUCUUUUCUAUGACUUCAGUGAAACCUGGCAAUACAGUACCAUUGUGUGCUACACCUCUUAUUGUGCUCUAAUUGAGGCAUAGUUUGUAUUUAUAUAUAUCUUUAUAUUUAUUAAUUAAUGACUAUUAAUAUGUCUAGUAACGUGAUGUUGAUUUUCUUUGAUGGCAAAUGCAAGUAUUUCAUGGGGGAAGUAUUGGUCUGAGUCCAAAUUUUUAAAAAUUAUUUUAUCAUUUUCAAAAUUAAAUUCCUGAAAAAUAUUGAUAUACUGCAACCAGACAGUGUAUCAUGUAGAGAAAGGACCAGUUACACAUAUGUUCCUUACAUUAAUUCAGCAUUCUAAAUGCAAGAAUUAAUAAUGAUAUUGUGUACACCUGCAAAUGAAAAUCAAAACAGAUUAUGAUUUUGAUAACUCUGCUUCUCACUAAAACUUGGAACAAGUGCUCCUACUGAAAAUAACUCACUAGCUGCUAACUUGUGUUCUCAAAAGCUUCACAGCUUAGCAGAAAAAUAUUGAUUACUUGGCAUUCCAUAUCAGUUCCAAAUAACUAUUCCUUAAUCAUGCUUUUUUAUACUUCAGUAUUUAUAUACAUUAAUUUCUUAGUUCAUAUAUGCACAGAUUUCAUCACUCUACUGGCUAAAACCUUUAUCGUCUGACACACAUCUCAUGUACAUUAACACAAAUACCAUAUUAUUGUUGAUAGGAUUUUAUCCCAAUCUUCUAUCAAAUUGUUUGCUAACAUAAAUCUGUCAUUUUUGUAUAUGCAUACCAAAAAAUAAUUAUGUCUUUAUUCCACAGUUUAUACCAGAUUGAUGUGUAGUGCCCUAAAUCUCAAAUACAUUUCUGGGUGAAAACCAAGUUUUUAUAGGCAUUGUUUAAUUUGUACAUUUAUUAACAGAACUUCUAGUUAAAUUCUAAUGGAAUUUGUCUUGUCAUAAUUGCAAUGUAACAUACUUGGAAUAUAUUAUUAAUU
Long non-coding RNA from Zonotrichia albicollis (white-throated sparrow), 2122 nucleotides. RefSeq lists it as uncharacterized. Lineage: Eukaryota; Metazoa; Chordata; Aves; Passeriformes; Passerellidae. The record is from RefSeq and is a predicted model, not a curated record.